RNAcentral lists this ribosomal RNA (637 nucleotides) under Microbacterium sp. Se2Ps_2213. RNAcentral describes it as "bacterial SSU rRNA". It matches the Rfam family "Bacterial small subunit ribosomal RNA", at positions 381 to 1029 of the family's 1533-position model. Lineage: Bacteria; Bacillati; Actinomycetota; Actinomycetes; Micrococcales; Microbacteriaceae. The record is from RNAcentral. RNAcentral also lists the same sequence under 1 other name.
GCCUGAUGCAGCAACGCCGCGUGAGGGACGACGGCCUUCGGGUUGUAAACCUCUUUUAGCAGGGAAGAAGCGAAAGUGACGGUACCUGCAGAAAAAGCACCGGCUAACUACGUGCCAGCAGCCGCGGUAAUACGUAGGGUGCAAGCGUUAUCCGGAAUUAUUGGGCGUAAAGAGCUCGUAGGCGGUUUGUCGCGUCUGCUGUGAAAUCUGGGGGCUCAACCCCCAGCCUGCAGUGGGUACGGGCAGACUAGAGUGCGGUAGGGGAGAUUGGAAUUCCUGGUGUAGCGGUGGAAUGCGCAGAUAUCAGGAGGAACACCGAUGGCGAAGGCAGAUCUCUGGGCCGUAACUGACGCUGAGGAGCGAAAGGGUGGGGAGCAAACAGGCUUAGAUACCCUGGUAGUCCACCCCGUAAACGUUGGGAACUAGUUGUGGGGUCCAUUCCACGGAUUCCGUGACGCAGCUAACGCAUUAAGUUCCCCGCCUGGGGAGUACGGCCGCAAGGCUAAAACUCAAAGGAAUUGACGGGGACCCGCACAAGCGGCGGAGCAUGCGGAUUAAUUCGAUGCAACGCGAAGAACCUUACCAAGGCUUGACAUAUACGAGAACACCGUGGAAACACGGGACUCUUUGGACACUC